CAAGUAAAUCGCCUUAUCGCUCAAAUUUUAAUUUGGGAGGAAAGUCCGAACACCGUAGUGCAAUAUAGUGGUUAACGGCCACCAGUCGUGAGGCUAGGACAAGUGCAACAGAAAGUAUGUACAGGUAAUGCUGUAGUGAAACCAGGUAAACUCUAUAUGGUGCAAUGCUAUGUAAACCAGCGACCCAUUUGGUAAAGGCUGCACGCUUGAUGCUGGAGGGUAAGCAGCUAAAGUGUAUUGGUAACAGUGCACUCAGAUAAAUGAUAAGGGCUUUUUGUUUUUUAUGGAAUUUUUUAUAAAAAAUAAGACGUACAGAAUUCGGCUUAUAGAUUUACUUGACCA
This 342-nucleotide RNase P RNA is filed under the name Confluentibacter sp. RNAcentral describes it as "RNase P RNA component class A". It matches the Rfam family "Bacterial RNase P class A". From Rfam's summary of the family: Ribonuclease P (RNase P) is a ubiquitous endoribonuclease, found in archaea, bacteria and eukarya as well as chloroplasts and mitochondria. Its best characterised activity is the generation of mature 5'-ends of tRNAs by cleaving the 5'-leader elements of precursor-tRNAs. Cellular RNase Ps are ribonucleoproteins. RNAcentral also lists the same sequence under 1 other name. The record is from RNAcentral. Lineage: Bacteria; Pseudomonadati; Bacteroidota; Flavobacteriia; Flavobacteriales; Flavobacteriaceae.